AGUGAACGCUGGCGGCAGGCCUAAUACAUGCAAGUCGAACGGCAGCACAGCAGAGCUUGCUCUGUGGGUGGCGAGUGGCGGACGGGUGAGGAAUACAUGGGAAUCUGCCCAGUCGUGGGGGAUAACGUAUGGAAACGUACGCUAAUACCGCAUGCGCCCUACGGGGGAAAGUCGGGGACCGCAAGGCCUGGCGCGAUUGGAUGAGCCCAUGUUCGAUUAGCUAGUUGGCGGGGUAAAGGCCCACCAAGGCGACGAUCGAUAGCUGGUCUGAGAGGAUGAUCAGCCACACUGGAACUGAGACACGGUCCAGACUCCUACGGGAGGCAGCAGUAGGGAAUAUUGGACAAUGGGGGCAACCCUGAUCCAGCCAUGCCGCGUGAGUGAAGAAGGCCCUCGGGUUGUAAAGCUCUUUCAGACGGAAAGAAAUCGCAUCUUCUAAUACAGGGUGUGGAUGACGGUACCGUAAGAAGAAGCA
RNAcentral lists this ribosomal RNA (475 nucleotides) under uncultured bacterium. RNAcentral describes it as "bacterial SSU rRNA". It matches the Rfam family "Bacterial small subunit ribosomal RNA", at positions 29 to 492 of the family's 1533-position model. The record is from RNAcentral.